This 253-nucleotide ribosomal RNA is filed under the name uncultured bacterium. RNAcentral's name for it is "partial 16S ribosomal RNA". It matches the Rfam family "Bacterial small subunit ribosomal RNA", at positions 524 to 776 of the family's 1533-position model. The record is from RNAcentral.
UACGUAGGGGGCAAGCGUUAUCCGGAUUUACUGGGUGUAAAGGGAGCGUAGACGGAAUAGCAAGUCUGAUGUGAAAACCCGGGGCUCAACUCCGGGAGUGCAUUGGAAACUGUUGAUCUAGAGUGUCGGAGAGGCAAGCGGAAUUCCUAGUGUAGCGGUGAAAUGCGUAGAUAUUAGGAGGAACACCAGUGGCGAAGGCGGCUUGCUGGACGAUGACUGACGUUGAGGCUCGAAAGCGUGGGGAGCAAACAGG